Molecule: small nuclear RNA, 346 nt
Filed under: Anolis carolinensis (green anole)
Lineage: Eukaryota; Metazoa; Chordata; Lepidosauria; Squamata; Anolidae
Description: 7SK RNA
Rfam family: 7SK RNA
About the family: 7SK was discovered as an abundant small nuclear RNA in the mid-70s but a possible function has only recently been suggested.
Source: Rfam by way of RNAcentral
GGAUGUGAGGGCGAUCUGGCUGCGACAUCUGUCACCCCAUUGAUCACCAGGGUUGAUUCGGCUGAUCUGGCUGGCUAGGCGGGUGUCCCCUUCCUCACUCACCGCUCCAUGUGCGUCCCUCCCGAAGCUGCACGCUCAGUGGAAGAGAACGACAUCCCAGGUAUAGAAGGAGUGUACCGAGGUCUCCAGUCUUCGGUCCCGGGUAUACGAUAGCUGCGCUCCCCUGCUAGAACCUCCAAACAUUGAAAAUGUGGUCAAGAAAAUGUUUGAUUGCUGUGUGGGGGUUCUCCCUGAAAAUAAUUAUUUCAGACAAUACCUUUUUUGCACACACCAAACACAUCACUUU